Molecule: small nucleolar RNA, 68 nt
Organism: Melanotaenia boesemani (Boeseman's rainbowfish)
Lineage: Eukaryota; Metazoa; Chordata; Actinopteri; Atheriniformes; Melanotaeniidae
Product: small nucleolar RNA SNORD37
Exons: 1
Source: RefSeq, a predicted model, not a curated record
GCAAGUGAUGACUUCACUAUUCUUCACUUUGACCUGACUAACCAGUGAUGACAAACUUAAGCCUGAGC